This 64-nucleotide ribosomal RNA is filed under the name Penicillium herquei. Its description in RNAcentral is "partial 28S ribosomal RNA". The record is from RNAcentral. Lineage: Eukaryota; Fungi; Ascomycota; Eurotiomycetes; Eurotiales; Aspergillaceae.
UUUUUUCAGGUUGACCUCGGAUCAGGUAGGGAUACCCGCUGAACUUAAGCAUAUCAUAAGGCCG